GUGAGUCAUCGAAUCUUUGAACGCACAUUGCGCCCUUUGGUAUUCCGAAGGGCAUGCCUGUUCGAGCGUCAUUAUAACCACUCAAGCCUGGCUUGGUAUUGGAGUUCGCUAUCGGCGGCCCUUAAAAUCAGUGGCGGUGCCUGUAGGCUCUACGCGUAGUAAUACUUCUCGCUAUAGGGUCCUGCGGGUGACUUGCCAACAACCCCUAGUUUUUUAAGGUUGACCUCGGAUCAGGUAGGGAUACCCGCUGAACUUAAGCAUAUCAAUAAGCGGAGGA
This 277-nucleotide unclassified non-coding RNA is filed under the name Ascomycota sp. RNAcentral's name for it is "partial contains 5.8S ribosomal RNA, internal transcribed spacer 2, and large subunit ribosomal RNA". The stretch from base 1 to 71 matches the Rfam family "5.8S ribosomal RNA", at positions 84 to 154 of the family's 154-position model. The record is from RNAcentral. Lineage: Eukaryota; Fungi; Ascomycota.